Molecule: ribosomal RNA, 2267 nt
Filed under: Staphylococcus aureus
Lineage: Bacteria; Bacillati; Bacillota; Bacilli; Caryophanales; Staphylococcaceae
Description: partial 23S ribosomal RNA
Rfam family: Bacterial large subunit ribosomal RNA
Source: RNAcentral
GGCGAGUUACGAUUUGAUGCAAGGUUAAGCAGUAAAUGUGGAGCCGUAGCGAAAGCGAGUCUGAAUAGGGCGUUUAGUAUUUGGUCGUAGACCCGAAACCAGGUGAUCUACCCUUGGUCAGGUUGAAGUUCAGGUAACACUGAAUGGAGGACCGAACCGACUUACGUUGAAAAGUGAGCGGAUGAACUGAGGGUAGCGGAGAAAUUCCAAUCGAACCUGGAGAUAGCUGGUUCUCUCCGAAAUAGCUUUAGGGCUAGCCUCAAGUGAUGAUUAUUGGAGGUAGAGCACUGUUUGGACGAGGGGCCCCUCUCGGGUUACCGAAUUCAGACAAACUCCGAAUGCCAAUUAAUUUAACUUGGGAGUCAGAACAUGGGUGAUAAGGUCCGUGUUCGAAAGGGAAACAGCCCAGACCACCAGCUAAGGUCCCAAAAUAUAUGUUAAGUGGAAAAGGAUGUGGCGUUGCCCAGACAACUAGGAUGUUGGCUUAGAAGCAGCCAUCAUUUAAAGAGUGCGUAAUAGCUCACUAGUCGAGUGACACUGCGCCGAAAAUGUACCGGGGCUAAACAUAUUACCGAAGCUGUGGAUUGUCCUUUGGACAAUGGUAGGAGAGCGUUCUAAGGGCGUUGAAGCAUGAUCGUAAGGACAUGUGGAGCGCUUAGAAGUGAGAAUGCCGGUGUGAGUAGCGAAAGACGGGUGAGAAUCCCGUCCACCGAUUGACUAAGGUUUCCAGAGGAAGGCUCGUCCGCUCUGGGUUAGUCGGGUCCUAAGCUGAGGCCGACAGGCGUAGGCGAUGGAUAACAGGUUGAUAUUCCUGUACCACCUAUAAUCGUUUUAAUCGAUGGGGGGACGCAGUAGGAUAGGCGAAGCGUGCGAUUGGAUUGCACGUCUAAGCAGUAAGGCUGAGUAUUAGGCAAAUCCGGUACUCGUUAAGGCUGAGCUGUGAUGGGGAGAAGACAUUGUGUCUUCGAGUCGUUGAUUUCACACUGCCGAGAAAAGCCUCUAGAUAGAAAAUAGGUGCCCGUACCGCAAACCGACACAGGUAGUCAAGAUGAGAAUUCUAAGGUGAGCGAGCGAACUCUCGUUAAGGAACUCGGCAAAAUGACCCCGUAACUUCGGGAGAAGGGGUGCUCUUUAGGGUUAACGCCCAGAAGAGCCGCAGUGAAUAGGCCCAAGCGACUGUUUAUCAAAAACACAGGUCUCUGCUAAACCGUAAGGUGAUGUAUAGGGGCUGACGCCUGCCCGGUGCUGGAAGGUUAAGAGGAGUGGUUAGCUUCUGCGAAGCUACGAAUCGAAGCCCCAGUAAACGGCGGCCGUAACUAUAACGGUCCUAAGGUAGCGAAAUUCCUUGUCGGGUAAGUUCCGACCCGCACGAAAGGCGUAACGAUUUGGGCACUGUCUCAACGAGAGACUCGGUGAAAUCAUAGUACCUGUGAAGAUGCAGGUUACCCGCGACAGGACGGAAAGACCCCGUGGAGCUUUACUGUAGCCUGAUAUUGAAAUUCGGCACAGCUUGUACAGGAUAGGUAGGAGCCUUUGAAACGUGAGCGCUAGCUUACGUGGAGGCGCUGGUGGGAUACUACCCUAGCUGUGUUGGCUUUCUAACCCGCACCACUUAUCGUGGUGGGAGACAGUGUCAGGCGGGCAGUUUGACUGGGGCGGUCGCCUCCUAAAAGGUAACGGAGGCGCUCAAAGGUUCCCUCAGAAUGGUUGGAAAUCAUUCAUAGAGUGUAAAGGCAUAAGGGAGCUUGACUGCGAGACCUACAAGUCGAGCAGGGUCGAAAGACGGACUUAGUGAUCCGGUGGUUCCGCAUGGAAGGGCCAUCGCUCAACGGAUAAAAGCUACCCCGGGGAUAACAGGCUUAUCUCCCCCAAGAGUUCACAUCGACGGGGAGGUUUGGCACCUCGAUGUCGGCUCAUCGCAUCCUGGGGCUGUAGUCGGUCCCAAGGGUUGGGCUGUUCGCCCAUUAAAGCGGUACGCGAGCUGGGUUCAGAACGUCGUGAGACAGUUCGGUCCCUAUCCGUCGUGGGCGUAGGAAAUUUGAGAGGAGCUGUCCUUAGUACGAGAGGACCGGGAUGGACAUACCUCUGGUGUACCAGUUGUCGUGCCAACGGCAUAGCUGGGUAGCUAUGUGUGGACGGGAUAAGUGCUGAAAGCAUCUAAGCAUGAAGCCCCCCUCAAGAUGAGAUUUCCCAACUUCGGUUAUAAGAUCCCUCAAAGAUGAUGAGGUUAAUAGGUUCGAGGUGGAAGCAUGGUGACAUGUGGAGCU